GACGAACGCUCGCGGCGUGCUUAACACAUGCGAGUCGAACGGAAAGGCCCCUUUGGGGGUACUCGAGUGGCGAACGGGUGAGUAACACGUGAGUAACCUGCCCUUGACUUCGGGAUAACUUCAGGAAACUGGGGCUAAUACCGGAUAGGAAUCCUUGCUGCAUGGUGGGGGUUGGAAAGCUUCGGCGGUUUUGGAUGGACUCGCGGCUUAUCAGCUUGUUGGUGGGGUAGUGGCUUACCAAGGCUUUGACGGGUAGCCGGCCUGAGAGGGCGACCGGCCACAUUGGGACUGAGAUACGGCCCAGACUCCUACGGGAGGCAGCAGUGGGGAAUAUUGCACAAUGGGCGGAAGCCUGAUGCAGCAACGCCGCGUGCGGGAUGACGGCCUUCGGGUUGUAAACCGCUUUCAGCAGGGGCGAAGCUUGUGGUGACGGUACCUGCAGAAGAAGCACCGGCUAACUACGUG
RNAcentral lists this ribosomal RNA (465 nucleotides) under uncultured bacterium. RNAcentral's name for it is "partial 16S ribosomal RNA". It matches the Rfam family "Bacterial small subunit ribosomal RNA", at positions 28 to 507 of the family's 1533-position model. The record is from RNAcentral.